CAGUAGCCGCGGUAAUACGAAGGGUGCAAGCGUUAAUCGGAAUUACUGGGCGUAAAGCGUGCGUAGGUGGUGGUUUAAGUCCGUUGUGAAAGCCCUGGGCUCAACCUGGGAAUUGCAGUGGAUACUGGGUCACUAGAGUGUGGUAGAGGAUAGUGGAAUUUCCGGUGUAGCAGUGAAAUGCGUAGAGAUCGGAAGGAACAUCUGUGGCGAAGGCAACUAUCUGGGCCAACACUGACACUGAGGCACGAAAGCGUGGGGAGCAAACAGGAUUAGAUACCCCAGUAGUCCCUGUCUCUUAUAC
This 301-nucleotide ribosomal RNA is filed under the name uncultured bacterium. RNAcentral describes it as "partial 16S ribosomal RNA". It matches the Rfam family "Bacterial small subunit ribosomal RNA", at positions 509 to 807 of the family's 1533-position model. The record is from RNAcentral.